GAUGAACGCUGGCGGCGUGCCUAAUACAUGCAAGUCGAGCGAACAGAUGAGGAUCUUGCUCCUCUGACGUUAGCGGCGGACGUGUGAGUAACACGUGGAUAACCUACCUAUAAGACUGGUAUAACUUCGGGAAACCGGAGCUAAUACCGGAUAAUAUAUUGAACCGCAUGGUUCAAUAGUGAAAGACGGUUUUGCUGUCACUUAUAGAUGGAUCCGCGCCGCAUUAGCUAGUUGGUAAGGUAACGGCUUACCAAGGCAACGAUGCGUAGCCGACCUGAGAGGGGGAUCGGCCAAACUGGAAGAGAGACACGGACCAGACUCCUACGGGAGGAAGCAGUAGGGAAUCUGCCGCAAUGGGCGAAAGCCUGACGGAGCAACGCCGCGUGAGUGAUGAAGGUCUUCGGAUCGUAAAACUCUGUUAUUAGGGAAGAACAAAUGUGUAAGUAACUAUGCACGUCUUGACGGUACCUAAUCAGAAAGCCACGGCUAACUACGUG
Molecule: ribosomal RNA, 497 nt
Filed under: uncultured bacterium
Lineage: Bacteria
Description: partial 16S ribosomal RNA
Rfam family: Bacterial small subunit ribosomal RNA
Source: RNAcentral